GCCAAACUUCUAGCCAAACAAAUUUUUAUAAUAUCCUCAAUUUAUUCUUCUAUUUUAAAACAUUUUAUUGAUUUAGUAAAGGCGAUAAAAAAAUUUCUAAGAGCAAUAUAGAUAGUACCGUAAGGGAAUGAUGAAAUAAAAAUGAAAUAGCUCUAAAGCAUAAAAAAGUAAAGCUUACAACUUGUACCUUUUGCAUCAUGGUUUAACUAGUCCUUCUAGGCAAAAAGACUUUUAGUCUAAUACCCCGAACCUAGGCGAGCUACUCUAAGACAGCUUUUAGAGCCAACCCAUCUCUGUUGCAAAAGAGUGGGAAGAUCUUAAAGUAGAGGUGACAUACCAAACGAGCCUAGUGAUAGCUGGUUGCUUUUUAAAAGGAUUUUAGUCCAACUUAAAGUUAUCUUUAUUCAAAAAAAUUUUAAACUUUAAAGUAAUUCAAAUAAGGUUCAGCCUAUUUGAAAAAGGAUACAACCUCUACCACUGGGUUAAAUGCACCAAAAAACAAAGUAGGCUUAAAAGCAGCCACCUAACAAAAGCGUCAUAGCUUAAUCUAAUAUCUUGUGUAAUUCCUAAAACCUCUCUCAACCCUUCAUUACCAAAAAGCAAUUCUAUAUACCUAUAGAAAAUUUUAUGUUAAAACUAGUAACAAGAAGUAGCUCUUCUCUUAAAUGUACCUUUAUGUCAACACGGACAACCCUUUGAUAAUCAACGUCUAUAAAUUUAUAGUACCCACUUCCUUCCCGAAAACCCUACUACUACUUACGUUAACCUAACACAAGAACAUUUAAAGAAAGAUUAAAAGAUAAAGAAGGAACUCGGCAAAUAUUAGCUUCGCCUGUUUACCAAAAACAUCGCCUCCUGACUAACCAUAAGAGGUCCAGCCUGCCCAGUGACAUUGUUCAACGGCCGCGGUAUCCUAACCGUGCGAAGGUAGCGUAAUCACUUGUUCUUUAAAUGAGGACUAGUAUGAAUGGCUUCACGAAAGCUAUACUGUCUCCCUUAUCUAAUCAGUUAAACUAAUCUCCCCGUGAAGAAGCGGGGAUUAACCUAUAAGACGAGAAGACCCUAUGGAGCUUUAAACAUCUUAAAACAUUUGAAUUUUAUAUUAUUAUCUUCAGAGAACUAAACUAAGCCCAUCACUCUGUUUUAAGUUUUAGGUUGGGGUGACCACGGAGAUAGCCUAACCUCCACGUAGAAUGAAACUUCCUUCUAAGCAAAAAGCUACACCUUUAUGCAUCAAAAUAUUGACCUAAAUUGACCCAAUUACUUGAUCAACGAACCAAGUUACCCUAGGGAUAACAGCGCAAUCCGCUUUAAGAGCUCCUAUCGACAAGCGGGCUUACGACCUCGAUGUUGGAUCAGGGGAUCCCAGUGGUGCAGCAGCUACUAAUGGUUCGUUUGUUCAACGAUUAAAACCCUACGUGAUCUGAGUUCAGACCGGAGCAAUCCAGGUCAGUUUCUAUCUAUAAAGAGUUUUUUCUAGUACGAAAGGACCGAAAAACCAUGGCCAAUGCUUUAUAUCAAGCCAUUUUUUAAAAAUUUAUGUUUUUAACUUAAUAAUUAAAAUCCUAAUACUCACUUUAAGAUCAAAAACCUCAA
This 1596-nucleotide ribosomal RNA is filed under the name Allobates marchesianus (dull rocket frog). Its description in RNAcentral is "16S ribosomal RNA". It matches the Rfam family "Bacterial large subunit ribosomal RNA", at positions 366 to 2925 of the family's 2925-position model. The record is from RNAcentral. Lineage: Eukaryota; Metazoa; Chordata; Amphibia; Anura; Aromobatidae.